GCCUACGGGACGCAGCAGUAGGGAAUCUUCCACAAUGGACGAAAGUCUGAUGGAGCAACGCCGCGUGAGUGAAGAAGGGUUUCGGCUCGUAAAGCUCUGUUGGUAGUGAAGAAAGAUAGAGGAAGUAACUGGCCUUUAUUUGAAGGUAAUUACUUAGAAAGUAACGGAUAACUACGUGCCAGCAGCCGCGGGAAUACGUAGGUGGCGAGCGUUGUCCGGAUUUAUUGGGCGGAAAGGGUGCGUAGGCGGCCUGCUAAGUCUGGAGGGAAAGGUACCGGCUCAAAC
This 285-nucleotide ribosomal RNA is filed under the name uncultured bacterium. RNAcentral describes it as "partial 16S ribosomal RNA". It matches the Rfam family "Bacterial small subunit ribosomal RNA", at positions 337 to 614 of the family's 1533-position model. The record is from RNAcentral.